This 869-nucleotide ribosomal RNA is filed under the name uncultured bacterium. RNAcentral's name for it is "bacterial SSU rRNA". It matches the Rfam family "Bacterial small subunit ribosomal RNA", at positions 8 to 877 of the family's 1533-position model. The record is from RNAcentral.
AGAGUUGAUCCUGGCUCAGGACGAACGCUGGCGGCGUGCCUAACACAUGCAAGUCGAGCGGAGACUACGACGAAGCGGAAUUUUUCGGAAGGAAGCGGAGAUGUAUGUUUUAGCGGCGGACGGGUAGUAACGCGUGAGCAACCUGUCCUUCACAGGGGGAUAACACAGCGAAAGUUGUACUAAUACGCAUAAGACCACGGAGGGGCAUCCCUAAGGGGUCAAAGGAGUAAUCCGGUGAAGGGUGGCUCGCGUCCGAUUAGAUAGUUGGUGAGGUAACGGCCCACCAAGUCAACGAUCGGUAGCCGCCUGAGAGGGUGAUCGGCCACAUUGGGACUGAGACACGGCCCAAACUCCUACGGGAGGCACAGUGGGGAAUAUUGGGCAAUGGGGGGAACCCUGACCCAGCAACGCCGCGUGAGGGAAGAGGUUUUCGGAUCGUAAACCUCUGUCCUUGGUGAAGAGAAGGAGACGGUAGCCAAGGAGGAGCCCCGGCUAACUACGUGCCAGCAGCCGCGGUAAUACGUAGGGGGCGAGCGUUGUCCGGAUGAUUGGGCGUAAAGGGCGCGUAGGCGGCCAUGUAAGUCUGGAGUGAAAGUCCUGUUUUUAGAUGGGAAUUGCUUUGGAUACUGUAUGGCUUGAGUGCAGGAGAGGUAAGUGGAAUUCCCGUGUAGCGGUGAAAUGCGUAGAGAUUGGGGAGGAACACCAGUGGCGAAGGCGACUUACUGACUGUAACUGACGCUGAGGCGCGAAAGUGUGGGGAGCAAACAGGAUUAGAUACCCUGGUAUCCACACUGUAAACGAUGAAUGCGAGGUGUAGGGGGUAUCGACCCCUUCUGUGCCGCAGUAACACAAUAAGCAUUCCGCCUGGG